CCACAGUCAACAAAACUAAUAAUAAUUCAAAGGCUAUGCCAAUAGACUGGAAUAUCAAAAGGAGCUGCCAAGCUGAAAAUACUAGAUGGAUGGAAUAUCUGCCUCUUGAAUAUGAGACUGGCUAAGUUCAGAGUACAUCAGAAGUCAACCACAGGGAUACAAACUGAAUGAGGACCUUCUCUAAAUCUCCACCAACUAGUAUGAUGUAUUUAUUUAACUGAUUCAAAUUUGUAAUAUUGGAUUAAGGAGCUCCUGGAUAUACAGGAAGAAGCUAGUAUUCUAAGGGCUCCAUUACCCAGACAAAGGAAGAAUAAAAGAUGGAAUCCUGGGAAUCUGUUCCUCUGCCCUUUCUUGAAAGUGAUGGAGACUUCGCUUCUGAACCUGGGGUGAUGGUUGUAGCAGAAGGGGGGAAACCAAGCGAAAGAUUGGAUCUCCUUACCUCAUUCAGGCUGCAAAGUCCAUUCCUGGACUUUCCUCCACAGCUGAUCUCCAGAUCUGCUUUGUUUCAAAACUAG
RNAcentral lists this long non-coding RNA (515 nucleotides) under Monodelphis domestica (gray short-tailed opossum). Its description in RNAcentral is "lncRNA (ENSMODG00000032078.2)". Lineage: Eukaryota; Metazoa; Chordata; Mammalia; Didelphimorphia; Didelphidae. The record is from RNAcentral.